AUAUGGUAGUCUGUUAGUAUAGUUGAAGGAUUUGGAAAAUUCCGCUAAAGAGGGUGAAAGCCCCGUAGACGAAAUGCUGACAACACCUAGGAGGAUCCUGAGUACGGCGGAACACGAGAAAUUCCGUCGGAAUCCGCGGGGACCAUCCCGCAAGGCUAAAUACUCCCUAGUGACCGAUAGUGAACCAGUACCGUGAGGGAAAGGUGAAAAGCACCCCGGAAGGGGAGUGAAAUAGAUCCUGAAACCGUGUGCCUACAACAAGUCAAAGCUCGUUAAUGAGUGAUGGCGUGCCUUUUGUAGAAUGAACCGGCGAGUUACGAUUGCAUGCGAGGUUAAGUCGAAGAGACGGAGCCGCAGCGAAAGCGAGUCUGAAUAGGGCGAAUGAGUAUGUAGUCGUAGACCCGAAACCAUGUGAUCUACCCAUGUCCAGGUUGAAGGUGCGGUAAAACGCACUGGAGGACCGAACCCACGUACGUUGAAAAGUGCGGGGAUGAGGUGUGGGUAGCGGAGAAAUUCCAAACGAACUUGGAGAUAGCUGGUUCUCUCCGAAAUAGCUUUAGGGCUAGCCUCGGAAUUGAGAAUGAUGGAGGUAGAGCACUGUUUGGACUAGGGGCCCAUCUCGGGUUACCGAAUUCAGAUAAACUCCGAAUGCCAUUCAUUUAUAUCCGGGAGUCAGACUGCGAGUGAUAAGAUCCGUAGUCGAAAGGGAAACAGCCCAGACCACCAGCUAAGGUCCCAAAAUAUAUGUUAAGUGGAAAAGGAUGUGGGGUUGCACAGACAACUAGGAUGUUGGCUUAGAAGCAGCCACCAUUUAAAGAGUGCGUAAUAGCUCACUAGUCGAGUGACCCUGCGCCGAAAAUGUACCGGGGCUAAACAUAUUACCGAAGCUGUGGACUACACCAUUAGGUGUAGUGGUAGGAGAGCGUUCUAAGGGCGUUGAAGGUCGAUCGUGAGGACGGCUGGAGCGCUUAGAAGUGAGAAUGCCGGUAUGAGUAGCGAAAGACAGGUGAGAAUCCUGUCCACCGUAUGACUAAGGUUUCCUGGGGAAGGCUCGUCCGCCCAGGGUUAGUCGGGACCUAAGCCGAGGCCGAUAGGCGUAGGCGAUGGACAACAGGUUGAUAUUCCUGUACCAGUUGUUUUUGUUUGAGCAAUGGAGGGACGCAGUAGGCUAAGGAAUGCAUGCGAUUGGAAGUGCAUGUCCAAGCAAUGAGUCUUGAGUAGAGUUAAAUGCUUUACUCUUUAAGGACAAGUUGUGACGGGGAGCGAAAUAAUAGUAGCGAAGUUCCUGAUGUCACACUGCCAAGAAAAGCUUCUAGUGAGAAAACAACUGCCCGUACCGUAAACCGACACAGGUAGUCGAGGAGAGU
RNAcentral lists this ribosomal RNA (1367 nucleotides) under Enterococcus faecalis. RNAcentral's name for it is "partial 23S ribosomal RNA". It matches the Rfam family "Bacterial large subunit ribosomal RNA", at positions 311 to 1677 of the family's 2925-position model. Lineage: Bacteria; Bacillati; Bacillota; Bacilli; Lactobacillales; Enterococcaceae. The record is from RNAcentral.